AACGAACGCUGGCGGCAGGCCUAACACAUGCAAGUCGAGCGAGGACUUCGGUCCUAGCGGCGGACGGGUGAGUAACGCGUGGGAACGUGCCCUUUGCUUCGGAAUAGCCCUGGGAAACUGGGAGUAAUACCGGAUGAGCCCUUUGGGGGAAAGAUUUAUCGGCGAAGGAUCGGCCCGCGUUGGAUUAGGUAGUUGGUGGGGUAAUGGCCUACCAAGCCGACGAUCCAUAGCUGGUUUGAGAGGAUGAUCAGCCACACUGGGACUGAGACACGGCCCAGACUCCUGCGGGAGGCAGCAGUGGGGAAUCUUAGACAAUGGGGGAAACCCUGAUCUAGCCAUGCCGCGUGAGCGAUGAAGGCCUUAGGGUUGUAAAGCUCUUUCAGCUGGGAAGAUAAUGACGGUACCAGCAGAAGAAGCCCCGGCUAACUCCGUG
This 433-nucleotide ribosomal RNA is filed under the name uncultured bacterium. RNAcentral describes it as "partial 16S ribosomal RNA". It matches the Rfam family "Bacterial small subunit ribosomal RNA", at positions 29 to 507 of the family's 1533-position model. The record is from RNAcentral.